RNAcentral lists this long non-coding RNA (495 nucleotides) under Homo sapiens (human). RNAcentral's name for it is "long non-coding RNA NONHSAT156964.1". Lineage: Eukaryota; Metazoa; Chordata; Mammalia; Primates; Hominidae. The record is from RNAcentral.
AACCAGAUGACCAUGGAAUGCGGCUGUCUUUUCUUUGGAAAAGAGGGAGUGUCUGAUGAAGCACUAAGGAGAGCUUCUGUAAGGGAAAGGCCCCUCAGGACAGUCAGGGGCAGAGGCUCUGUUACAAGGUCCUGCUCCCGGAGCCACAGCUAUGCAGUUGGAGGCAUCACGCUCAUAUAGUUCCCUGAAGAUCAAAGAAUAAAUGGAAAGGUGGAAUGUGUGCGGUCAUACUGAACACAUGUGCAAAGCCACAAAAACAAGGAUGUCCAGUGAGGGACCAACACAUUGGCCGGGAACAACUCAGACACCCAGCAGUCUGGAGCAGGUUGGACUGGUCCGGCCAUUCUAUGCAGUACUGAGCUACCCCAAAGCGGGUGCAUCCACGAAGACACACCGGAUUCAGUUGUUAGGUUAAAUGAGAUGCACGUGUCCGGAAGGAACCCAGGAAACUCUUGGUCAUUCCCUCUGGAGUACCAGGGUAAAACACAUGUGCAA